ACGGAAGGCAGCAGUGGGGAAUAUUGGGCAAUGGGGGAAACCCUGACCCAGCAACGCCGCGUGAAGGAAGAAGGCUUUCGGGUUGUAAACUUCUUUUAAGAGGGACGAACACAAUGACGGUACCUCUUGAAUAAGCCACGGCUAACUACGUGCCAGCAGCCGCGGUAAUACGUAGGUGGCAAGCGUUAUCCGGAUCUACUGGGUGUAAAGGGCGCGUAGGCGGGGAUGCAAGUCAGAUGUGAAAUCUAUGGGCUUAACCCAUAAACUGCAUUUGAAACUGUAUCUCUUGAGUGCUGGAGAGGUAGAUGGAAUUCCUUGUGUAGCGGUGAAAUGCGUAGAUAUAAGGAAGAACACCAGUGGCGAAGGCGAUCUACUGGACAGUAACUGACGCUGAGGCGCGAAAGCGUGGGGAGCAAACAGGAUUAGAUACCCUGGUA
RNAcentral lists this ribosomal RNA (437 nucleotides) under uncultured Oscillospiraceae bacterium. Its description in RNAcentral is "bacterial SSU rRNA". It matches the Rfam family "Bacterial small subunit ribosomal RNA", at positions 341 to 792 of the family's 1533-position model. The record is from RNAcentral. Lineage: Bacteria; Bacillati; Bacillota; Clostridia; Eubacteriales; Oscillospiraceae.